RNAcentral lists this ribosomal RNA (205 nucleotides) under uncultured bacterium. Its description in RNAcentral is "partial 16S ribosomal RNA". It matches the Rfam family "Bacterial small subunit ribosomal RNA", at positions 568 to 774 of the family's 1533-position model. The record is from RNAcentral.
UGCGCAGGCGGUUGUGCAAGACCGAUGUGAAAUCCCCGGGCUCAACCUGGGAAUGGCAUUGGUGACUGUACGGCUAGAGUGUGUCAGAGGGGGGUAGAAUUCCACGUGUAGCAGUGAAAUGCGUAGAGAUGUGGAGGAAUACCGAUGGCGAAGGCAGCCCCCUGGGAUAACACUGACGCUCAUGCACGAAAGCUGGGAGCAAACA